CUCCUGGCCUUAAUUGGCUAGGUCGCGGCUCCGGCGCUGUUACUUUGAAAAAAUUAGAGUGCUCAAAGCAAGCUUGUGCUCUGAAUACAUUAGCAUGGAAUAACGUGAUAGGAGUCUGGUCCUAUUGUGUUGGCCUUCGGGACCGGAGUAAUGAUUAAUAGGGACUGUCGUGGGCAUUCGUAUUUCAUUGUCAGAGGUGAAAUUCUUGGAUUUAUGAAAGACGGACCACUGCGAAAGCAUUUGCCAAGGAUGUUUUCAUUAAUCAAGAACGAAAGUUGGGGGCUCGAAGACGAUCAGAUACCGUCCUAGUCUCAAACAUAAACGAUGCCGACCAGGGAUCGGCGGAUGUUGCUCUAAGGACUCCGCCAGCACCUUCUGAGAAAUCAGAGUGUUUGGGUUCCGGGGGGAGUAUGGUCGCAAGGCUGAAACUUAAAGGAAUUGACGGAAGGGCACCACCAGGAGUGGAGCCUGCGGCUUAAUUGGACUCAACACGGGGAAACUUACCAGGUCCAGACAUAGUAAGGAUUGACAGAUUGAGAGCUCUUUCUUGAUUCUAUGGGUGGUGGUGCAUGGCCGUUCUUAGUUGGUGGAGCGAUUUGUCUGGUUAAUUCUGAUAACGAACGAGACCUCAACUUGCUAACUAGCUACGCGGAGGUUCCCCUUCGCGGCCAGCUUCUUAGAGGGACUAUGGCCGUUUAGGCCAUGGAAGUUUGAGGCAAUAACAGGUCUGUGAUGCCCUUAGAUGUUCGGGGCCGCACGCGCGCUACACUGAUGCAGCCAACGAGCUUUUCUUCCUGGUUCGAGAGGAUCGGAAAAUCUUUUCAAAUUGCAUCGUGAUGGGGAUAGACCAUUGCAAUUAUUGGUCUUCAACGAGGAAUUCCUAGUAAGCGCGUGUCAUCAACUCGUGUUGACUACGUCCCUGCCCUUUGUACACACCGCCCUUCACUCCUACCGAUUGAAUGAUUCGGUGAAGUGUUCGGAUUGCGUCGACGAUGGUGGUUCGCCGUCGUCGACGUCGUGAGAAGUUCAUUGAACCUUAUCAUUUAGAGGAAGGAGAAGUCGUAACAACGUUACCGUAGGUGAACCUGCGGUAG
Molecule: ribosomal RNA, 1094 nt
Filed under: Pinus taeda (loblolly pine)
Lineage: Eukaryota; Viridiplantae; Streptophyta; Pinopsida; Pinales; Pinaceae
Description: SSU rRNA
Rfam family: Eukaryotic small subunit ribosomal RNA
Source: RNAcentral